CAGCCGCCGCGGUAAUACGAACCGUCCGAACGUUAUUCGGAAUUACUGGGCUUAAAGCGCGUGUAGGCGGGUCGGCACGUCGGACGCUGAAAUUCCCCGGCUUAACCGGGGAAGUGGCGCCGAUACGGCCGGCCUGGAGGGGGGUAGGGGGGCCUGGAACUUCCGGUGGAGCGGUGAAAUGCGUUGAGAUCGGAAGGAACGCCCGUGGCGAAAGCGAGGCCCUGGACCUUUUCUGACGCUGAGACGCGAAAGCCAGGGGAGCGAACGGGAUUAGAUACCCCUGUAGUCCCUGUCUCUUAUA
Molecule: ribosomal RNA, 301 nt
Filed under: uncultured bacterium
Lineage: Bacteria
Description: partial 16S ribosomal RNA
Rfam family: Bacterial small subunit ribosomal RNA
Source: RNAcentral